This 272-nucleotide ribosomal RNA is filed under the name uncultured prokaryote. RNAcentral's name for it is "partial 16S ribosomal RNA". It matches the Rfam family "Bacterial small subunit ribosomal RNA", at positions 524 to 796 of the family's 1533-position model. The record is from RNAcentral.
UACGUAGGGUGCAAGCGUUAAUCGGAAUUACUGGGCGUAAAGCGUGCGCAGGCGGUUUUGUAAGACAGUGGUGAAAUCCCCGGGCUCAACCUGGGAACUGCCAUUGUGACUGCAAGGCUAGAGUGCGGCAGAGGGGGAUGGAAUUCCGCGUGUAGCAGUGAAAUGCGUAGAUAUGCGGAGGAACACCGAUGGCGAAGGCAAUCCCCUGGGCCUGCACUGACGCUCAUGCACGAAAGCGUGGGGAGCAAACAGGAUUAGAUACCCGGUAGUCC